Molecule: ribosomal RNA, 113 nt
Filed under: Spirodela intermedia
Lineage: Eukaryota; Viridiplantae; Streptophyta; Magnoliopsida; Alismatales; Araceae
Source: RNAcentral
GCGAUCAUACCAGCACUAAUGCACCGGAUCCAUCAGAACUCCGAAGUUAAGCGUGCUUGGCGAGAGUAGUACUAAGAUGGGUGACCUCUUGGGAAGUCCUCGUGUUGCACCCC